Molecule: long non-coding RNA, 1526 nt
Organism: Carassius gibelio (silver crucian carp)
Lineage: Eukaryota; Metazoa; Chordata; Actinopteri; Cypriniformes; Cyprinidae
Exons: 8
Source: RefSeq, a predicted model, not a curated record
AGCAACCCGUUCUCAUCAGUCUGCGUAUAAAUAACACGACUUUACACUUUCUAUUUGCGUGUAAUGCAUACGCCAAAUGCCAUUUUUGCGUGCAUAUGAUACGCCAAUCCUUCCCAUUAAUUUCGGUGGAGAGCAGAUGCGUCCAAAUAACACGCAUCAUCUUCAGCGGCAGUGACGUCACUAGCGAGGCUCGUUCAGUUCACCUGAUGCGCGUACACCUUCAAACAGGUAAGCAAGGUUACGUCGGAUUACAUACUCCACAACAACCUGUAAUCCAGCAGAUCUUUAAAGAAGCCAUCUCUUGUAAAAUCUCUCUCUCUCUCUCUCUCUCUCUCUCUCUCUCUCUCUCUCUCUCUCUCUCGCUCUGCUAGAAUUAACAGGGAACUUCAACUCCACGCUCCCAAUGCUGAUAUUGAAGAAGCUGUCAAGGGGGCUGAACAAGUCCUUCAAAGGAUCAACCCUUCACAGGAAGGCCUGUCAUGAGAUUUGAAUUUGACCAUCUUGUGCAUUUAUGAAGAAGACCAAAAGCUGCAAAGGCAAACACUUCCAAUGGCAGAAACUGAGAGUUUGCAUGAUGGCAUUUUCUCAGACGCUGAAUCUGAUGUGUACAGAUGAACUCAGGAGCCUACUAGAGUUGCCAAGGAACUUGUGCUUGAACUGAAGACCAGAAACGCAAAGAAAAUCAGUCAAACCAGUCCUAAAGAAAUGAGGAAUGAACAUGGACUUCUUGUGCCCCAAAAGAAAAGACAGAAAGCUCCUAAAAUGAGCAAAUAAGCUGUGCAUCAUCUCUGUGAUUUGGGAAGGAAAUGACUGAAUAUGAUGAAGCCAAUUGAUGAAGAUAUCAAUUGAAUGGCCACCGAGUGCAGCACUGCUACCUGAACCCAUCAGUUAUCUGCUGUGAAGACUGCAUUCACAAACCGCUCUACUGCGACAGCUCAGAUGUUACGGCCUGUAAAAGUAAACAUCACAGCUAAACAACGAGAGCUAGUUGUGGUGGGAUUCUUUUGGCCAAUAUCCCCAACAAGAAUCAAUGACAUCUAGACCAGGUGGAGUGUGAGGAGGACCGUCAGAGACUCCAGCCAGCCGAGCCAUGGAUUGCUCUCACUGUUACCAUCAGGCAGACGUUAUCACAGAACCUACACCAGCAGACAGUGAGACAAGUUCCUUUCACAGGCAAUCAGACUGAACUGAACUCAUACCAGUAAAACCAUACACACCCCACCAACCUCAUAUGCCCUGCACUCUUAUCAGUUAUGCUGACUGGACUCAAUAUUAUUAUGCACCCUGACAUUCUGUUUGCACUAAUUCAUACCGUGCUUUACUGCAGAGAUGUAUGUGUACUGUGAUUAUUAUUGUUUUCAAUUCAUGCUCUUUGUAUAGCAUAAUUUUUAACAUAUAUUGUUCUCUACCUGAAUUGAGUCCCUUAUAUAUGUGUGUUGCAUAUAUAUAUAUUCAGAAUUUGUAUUUCAUAUAUAUUCAUGAAUUAAUUAAUUUGUCAUCCAUACUGUCACGCUGCAGUCUGCACC